This is a long non-coding RNA of Equus asinus (donkey), 2257 nucleotides long. Lineage: Eukaryota; Metazoa; Chordata; Mammalia; Perissodactyla; Equidae. The record is from Ensembl.
CACAUCACCAUGGAUGGAGUCUAGUUUCACCCUGGCUGUCCUACUCUACUCACGUGAAUCAGCUUCCAGACCCAUCCGGCUGUUACUCAACGACGGGCAAGGUCUUGCCUUUCCCAUUGGAGUUGGUUCCAGCCUUGCCUCCAUCCCCACAAGGCUUGUGUGAGAAGGCGCCCCUCCUAGCCAGCCCCCUCCUGCCUCUGUUCCAGUCCCAACCAUGCGCAGUUGGCCCCCCAGUACCUAGUUGUACAUUCUAGUUCUGGGUCCUUCCAGUUGUGGCAUGUGGAAUGCCACCUCAGCAUGACCUGAUGAGCAGUACCAUGUCCACGCCCAGGAAUCGAACCAGCGAAACUCGAAGCUGCCGAAGCGGAGUGUGGGAACUUAACCACUCGGCCACGGGGCCUGCCCCCAUCACCUUUCUUGAUCCCUUUCCUGUAAGCUGAGGAGAAAUCUUAAGCAACCAGGCAUAGACUUCUCAGCAUCUAGAACGGCGAGAAUGAAUGCUGUUUAAGCCACCCAGUCUAUGGCAUUCUGGUAUGGCAGCUGGAACUGACUCAGACAGGGGCCAAUUGAACAAAAGAGCCUGGAGUGUGAAAGGUUCUGAGGCUGAAGACCAAGCAGGGAGCCUGUGAAGGGGCUGAGGACACCCAGAGAAGGGGCCCACCGAGGAAGGCAGAGCUAGAGAGGGCCCUGCUGCUGAGCAAAUGAGGCGGCCGAGGACCUUCAGAGGAGCCACGCAGAAUCAGAAUGGGGGUUUGGUUUUUCUACAACGUUGUUUCAGUUGGACCUAAAACAAAAAUAUUAACAUAAGCUCAGCUUCCAAAAUCACCAUGUUCCUCUGGUGAAAACUUGGAAAAGAGGUGGAAAAAUUACUUAGGGGACACUGUAGAAAGAUCCUUCCUCUAACUCAGAGUCUAAGAAGGGGUUCAUCCUUUUCGAAGCCCUUGAAAACCAUCAGCUCAUUGAUAGGCACCUUUUGCAGCUCCUGGAAUAGAGGUUGCAUACAAGGCCCUUUCACACGAUGCCUGAACUACGGGGACAUCUUCCACGUACCGUCUUGUCCCUCUGAUCUGCAUCUCAAUCCUAUGGUCUUUCCAGGAAAUCCCUCCCUGAGCUGGGAGUGCAGUGAUAAAUAAAACAAUGUCUGAGACUGGACCUCGCCAGACAACCCAGAAUGUAUUGUCACCAUGCCAUGGGUGAACACGGAUGUUGACCUCCACACACACACAGAAGAAAGUGAUUGAUGUAAAAGCAAUGAUGGCAGUCUUAGGAAUUUUCUCCUGCUGCUGAGUGGCACCAGAGAAGGAAUGAUGCUGAGAUGACCCUUCACAUUUAUUUACUGUGGUUUCAUUUUUCUCAACACUGAAAAGAAUGCCACUUCUUAUGGGCAGUCUUCUCAUGUGGUACCCUAAGUCAAGGUGACAACGAAACUGAAACAAGUGAGUGUGUUUGCUUUCCGAUUAUCCACGUGGGUCGUUUUGUCUUGACGAAACUUCCAAUGACGAAUGGUUAUACAUAGACCUUUAACUCCUGCUGACCACAAAUCUCUAAAGAUGGCACAAUUUUUCUUUUUUUCCUUCCUACGAUCUCUCUUUCCUUCAUUUGAAUUUGCUAAGAGCUGAUCUGAGGCAUAGGUGAGCAUGUAGCACUCAUUUAAAAACAGAAGUGGAAGAAAGAAUAAGAAAAUUAUUUUGUAUCUGAUGAUGAUUUUAGGCUGGUUAAUUUUAAAACUGCAGAUGAGAAGCAGGCUCCAAGGACUGGAGUUUGCUUGCCCUUUGUUGGGAAACAUUUACAUUUGUAGCGAAACCUCCAUCUGUAAAGAUGCCUCCCUCUCUGUGCCAGGAAGAAGGGGGAUGGCCUUAUCUCUAGAAACUCUUAAUGGGGAAGGAAAGAACUUAAGUUGGUUACUGUCUGGCAACCUCAUGUAACUGAUUUAGGGUGGUGGCUUCUGGCCUUUACUUAAUCCGAUUUGAUUCUUAUCUAAAAGUUGUGGGACCACCCAAUGGCCAGACCCCAUCUGCACUGAUACCAUUUUAACUGUUUUACAUGUUCUUUCCUUUGUCUUGUAAAGAGAUGGCUCACAUACCUAUGCCUUAAAUUUAGCCUUACUCUCCACCCAUGUUUGCAGCAGUGGCGGGGGCAGCAGCAGCGGCUCCUCCUGCCCGUGGGUCCUGUCCCCACACAGCAGCCUGACUGCCCAUGGGUCCUGUCCCCAUGCUAUUCCACACUAUUCUCUAAAUAAAAGAGCACUACUGCCAGA